UUCACCUGCUCCUCCUCCAUGCAUAUACACACACACACAUAUAUAUACAGUAUGUUCAUAACUGUACAUCGCAUUCGUUCAUCACCGAGCGCCCUUUUCUUAGGGAAACGCACCACCCGCAGCUGAGAGGGACUCCUGUUGGAUCCUGUUGACAAAAACACGGCUUCUUUCUCGAACCGCUCUUGGGACCGGGACCGGGGCCGAACUCUACUGAGGGUGCCCUGCGUGAUAAGGAGCCUCACCAAUCGUUGUGAUGGAAAGAAACUUUGUUUCAUUGUGUUGUUUGUUAAAAAAAGUGUGUGUGUGUGUUAUUUUCCCAGUGUUGUUUCACGUCAACCGCCGCUUUCCCCCACCACCACGGGUUGCAAGAGGUCAGAGCACCCCUACGCAGCAGCCCCGCACCCGGGCAGGUGAGGGGGUCCGGACUGAGAACAGAGCCGGUUCCUGCGAACCGACAGAGCCCGGAGAGAUCCCCCGAGCUGGGAGCCGACAGGCCGCGACAAGCCGAGAUGAGAUCGCGCAAAACCGGACCGUCUCGCACCCCUGCCUCCAAGCCAGAUGGGGCAGUGCGGAGCAGCUCCUGGGGCUCUGUACUCCUGGGUAGAAGGUGGUUGUUUCACCGCUGCUGUAGGGCUCCCGGAGGCCAACAGCUCUACACGUUCAGGUAGGGACCUGCAUCAGCAGGCGUGGGCUGCAAAGGACCAGGUGAAGGUUUAUCCAUGACGAAAGGAACAGAAAAUGUUUCAGCUGCGGAGCGUUCCUCAGGCGGGUGUCAGGUGUCUUUGACACACGAGGAAGGCUCCACAGCUGAAACGAUUUCUUAUCCUUUUCAGCCUGGAAUAAACCGUCACCUGUGCCAAUAGAUGUAUGUUUUUAGAAAAUAGGUAAUUGUAUUACCUGCCUCUGAGUUGUCUUGGAUAAAAGCACCAGACAGAUGCAUAAUAGAGAGGGGGCUGGAAGUCUUCAUUCCGUGAUGUAUAAAUCCCAGGCCCAUUCCAUUCCUCUGCUAGCAACCCCAGGCAAUCAAUGGGACCUUUUGCCCUUAACAUUUCAUGCAGACCGAUUUUGAGAGAAUUUCUCCCAUGAGGACAGAACGCCCUGUUCUUAAGAAUAGCCUUCGAUCUUCGAUCGCUGUGCCUCCAUUCGCCAAGGUGAGAAAUACACCCCGCUCACCUCCACAGGAGCCUGAAGGCGAGGAACCCUUCAGGCCUGCAAGCAGGGCGGUGCUGUGAGGAUCUGAUCCUCACAAGGGGCAGAACUCCGGCCUCUGUCCGUGCAGGAAUUCCCUCACAAUUCCAAGGACGUAACUUGUUUGUCUUGCAGAAGAAUCUAAUUAAACAACGUAUUCAGUGUAUCUUCAUUACAAGCAGUUUUCACAUUACAUUUGCGGAAAAUGAGACUACAGUGUUAUAGGGAAAUGCUACAAAAACAAUGCUGAGUACCCAGAAGAUUAAAUAAAUACCUUAGGGAUUAAAAUUAAUUAAUAUACUUUCUGGACUACGUUUUCAUGAGCUUCUCACUAUAAUUUCUGCAUUUUAGAUUUUCAGUGUGGAAACACUUUCAUCCAAUAAUUAUGUUUAAUAGUUAAUUAAAAACAAUGACUGCUGUUUUAGCUGUAGUGUAUUAUUAAAUGUUGCUGUGUUUACGUUCUUUUGGGAUGGAGUAAUGCUUUUCAUCUGGGUACGAAGAUAUUGAGCAUUGCAUCACCGAGAACACAAAUUGAGUUUAACCCCUUAUUUAACCUGAAUUUAAACACUGACAAAAGACACGCGUGCUUUUCUUGUGCUGUCAUUUUCGACCCUUCACUCUCGUCCUCGACUCAACUCCGCCUCCCGUUCUGGUGCGUCGCCUGCCUUCCGUCGCCUAGCGCUACACGACACCUGGGAUCACAGUUCAGGGAACAUGUCGCUUUCACCAAAGGACAGGAGGGGCUGCCUGCUCUUCAGACGAGUGAGGGAUGGCAUGUGAGGAGGGGGGCUGAAGUGCGUUGUGGCAUUUGACCACUUCUGGAUAAUUAUUGGCUCUCAAAAUAUUUUUGAUUGAUGGAUACCUUUGGAAUGCGGACUUUUUGCUUCGUCAAUUAUCUCUUAUCUCCCUGUGAGCUAUGUUGACACUGCACGAAGGCUAUGGGUUAUUUUUAGGGUAAGAGAUGCAAGGAAUAGUUUUUUUGUUUUCAAAUCACAGAUUGUUUCAUCUGUUAGUAACUUAAAAAUAAACGCCACAACGUGAUCGGUUUCCCUU
Lepisosteus oculatus (spotted gar) is the source of this 2241-nucleotide long non-coding RNA. The record is from Ensembl. NCBI's taxonomy places the organism in Eukaryota, Metazoa, Chordata, Actinopteri, Semionotiformes, Lepisosteidae.